RNAcentral lists this ribosomal RNA (431 nucleotides) under uncultured bacterium. RNAcentral's name for it is "partial 16S ribosomal RNA". It matches the Rfam family "Bacterial small subunit ribosomal RNA", at positions 30 to 507 of the family's 1533-position model. The record is from RNAcentral.
CGACCGCUGGCGGCAUGCCUACCACAUGCAAGUCGAACGAGACCUUCGGGUCUAGUGGCGCACGGGUGCGCAACGCGUGGGAACCUGCCCUUAGGUUCGGAAUAACUCCCCGAAAGGGGUGCUAAUACCGGAUAAUGUCUUCGGACCAAAGAUUUAUCGCCUUUGGAUGGGCCCGCGUUGGAUUAGCUAGUUGGUAGGGUAAAAGCCUACCAAGGCGACGAUCCAUAGCUGGUCUGAGAGGAUGAUCAGCCACACUGGGACUGAGACACGGCCCAGACUCCUACGGGAGGCAGCAGUGGGGAAUAUUGGACAAUGGGCGAAAGCCUGAUCCAGCAAUGCCGCGUGAGUGAUGAAGGCCUUAGGGUUGUAAAGCUCUUUUACCCGGGAUGAUAAUGACAGUACCGGGAGAAUAAGCUCCGGCUAACUCCGUG